CGGGGUUCCAAUUGCGUGCGCGUAUGGAUGCUCCUUUCGCCGCCGCCUUUCUAGCAACUAGUUGAUGUUAUGAUGCAUCGUUGGUCCGGUGUACGACGGCGCCUGGUGCGAUUUAUGCGUCCGGAAGCCCUUUCAGCCUCCAGGCAUGUCCCCACCUGCCUCACAGCCACCGACGCAUCUCACGGCGGGGGUCUAAUUGCGUGCGCGUAUGGAUGCUCCUUUCGCCGCCUUUCUAGCAACUAGUUGAUGUUAUGAUGCAUCGUUGGUCCGGUGUACGACGGCGCCUGAUGCGAUUUAUGCGUCCGGAAGCCCUUUCAGCCUCCAGGCAUGUCCCCACCUGCCUCACAGCCACCGACGCAUCUCACGGCGGGGUUCCAAUUGCGUGCGCGUAUGGAUGCUCCUUUCGCCGCCGCCUUUCCAGCAACUAGUUGAUGUUAUGAUGCAUCGUUGGUCCGGUGUACGACGGCGCCUGGUGCGAUUUAUGCGUCCGGAAGCCCUUUCAGCCUCCAGGCAUGUCCCCACCUGCCUCAUAGCCACCGACGCAUCUCACGGCGGGGUUCCAAUUGCGUGCGCGUAUGGAUGCUCCUAUUCGCCGCCGCCUUUCUAGCAACUAGUUGAUGUUAUGAUGCAUCGUUGGUCCGGUGUACGACGGCGCCUGAUGCGAUUUAUGCGUCCGGAAGCCCUUUCAGCCUCCAGGCAUGUCCCCACCUGCCUCACAGCGACCGAGGCAUCUCACGGCGGGGGUCUAAUUGCGUGCGCGUAUGGAUGCUCCUUUCCCCGCCGCCUUUCUAGCAACUAGUUGAUGUUAUGAUGCAUCGUUGGUCCGGCGUAUGACGGCGCCUGGUGCGAUUUAGGCGUCCGGAAGCCCUUUCAGCCUCCAGGCAUGUCCCCACCUGCCUCACAGCCACCGACGCAUCUCACGGCGGGGGUCUAAUUGCGUGCGCGUAUGGAUGCUCCUUUCCCCGCCGCCUUUCUAGCAACUAGUUGAUGUUAUGAUGCAUCGUUGGUCCGGCGUACGACGGCGCCUGAUGCGAUUUAUGCGUCCGGAAGCCCUUUCAGCCUCCAGGCAUGACCCCACCUGCCUCACAGCUACCGAGGCAUCUCACGGCGGGGGUCCAAUUGCGUGCGCGUAUGGAUGCUCCUUUCCCCGCCGCCUUUCUAGCAACUAGUUGAUGUUAUGAUGCAUCGUUGGUCCAGUGUACGACGGCGCCUGAUGCGAUUUAUGCGUCCGGAAGCCCUUUCAGCCUCCAGGCAUGUCCCCACCUGCCUCACAGCCACCGACGCAUCUCACGGCGGGGUUCCAAUUGUGUGCGCGUAUGGAUGCUCCUUUCCCCGCCGCCU
This 1341-nucleotide long non-coding RNA is filed under the name Volvox carteri. RNAcentral's name for it is "long non-coding RNA (VCAR_LNC004031)". Lineage: Eukaryota; Viridiplantae; Chlorophyta; Chlorophyceae; Chlamydomonadales; Volvocaceae. The record is from RNAcentral.